ACAAGUAUAUAGAAGCAAUGCAUAUAAUAUUCAUAGUCUUUUGUAAUUUGAAAGUGUUACUUAAAAUACUUUUGAAUUAUUAAAAAGUAUUGCAAAAUUUGUCAUAUGAAAAUAGCUAAUAAAAUAGUGCAAAUAUGAUUCUCACUAUCUUUACAUUUUUCAUGUUGACUUUAGUAAGUUUAACUUAUGCUGGAAUGAAUGAACAAUUUGUGGUUAAAAUCUGUUUGGACUUACGUGUUGUAGUUGCCUUUGCUUUUUUUGCGCUCAUAAUUACUUUCAUUAAACGGGUGGUUCGCGAUGCCGAUGAUAUCUUACGUGAAGUGCAGCUAGCUAAUUCUGCUAAGCAAAAUUAAGGAGGUUCAUAAUGACUGAUAUUAACAUAGAAAAGAAAUUGCGAUUUGCAUGUAGAACAUAUUAAAUCCUUAGACUCUGAUAUGACCGAACUCCUCCACUUCCUGCAAGAAAAGUAAACUUUGGAUUUAAAAUGCGCUACAUUUUUGAGGGCGAAAGUCGAAUCAAAUUUGUAUGACAGAAAUUACAGAAAUAAAUUUCAAGUAGUAGAUAAAUUUUCAUUAUAUACAUUCAUUAUAUAACACUCACACUUAUGUAAAACAAACGAAACAAUAAAUAUACAUCUAACAUA
Long non-coding RNA from Teleopsis dalmanni, 643 nucleotides. RefSeq lists it as uncharacterized. The transcript has 4 exons. NCBI's taxonomy places the organism in Eukaryota, Metazoa, Arthropoda, Insecta, Diptera, Diopsidae. The record is from RefSeq and is a predicted model, not a curated record.